RNAcentral lists this ribosomal RNA (497 nucleotides) under uncultured bacterium. Its description in RNAcentral is "partial 16S ribosomal RNA". It matches the Rfam family "Bacterial small subunit ribosomal RNA", at positions 28 to 507 of the family's 1533-position model. The record is from RNAcentral.
GAUGAACGCUGGCGGCGUGCCUAACACAUGCAAGUCGAGCGAAGAGACGAGGAGCUUGCUCCUCCGAGGUUGGCAGCGGAGGGGUGAUGAACACUUCGUCAACAUACCCAUAAGACUGGGAGAACAUUGGGGGACCGGAGCUAUUAUCGGAAAAUAUAUCGACGCGCAAGGUUCAAGAGUGAAAGACGGUUUUGCUGUCACUUAUGGCUGGAUCCGCGCCGCAUUAGCUAGUGGUUAAGGUAACGGAUUACCAAGGCAACGAUGCGUAGCCGCCCUGAGAGGGUGAUCGGCCACACUGGAACUGAGACACGGUCCAGACUCCGACGGGAGGCAGCAGUAGGGAAUCUUCCGGAAUGGGCGAAAGCCUGACCUAGCAACACCGCGUGAGUGAUGAAGGACUUCGGAUCGUAAAGCUCUGUUGGUAGGAAAGAAGAAAAGCGUAUUUAGCUGUGCACGUAUUGACGGUACCUAAAGAAGAAGCCCCGGCUAACUACGUG